CUGGCCUCUUCGAAGAUCCUUAUACCUUUGCUUCCGUGGUAUAAUGAUUCAAAGCGAAGCCUAGAAUGAUGUCUUCACGAUCAAUUUGGCCUCUACUUCUCAGUACAUAU
This 110-nucleotide small nucleolar RNA is filed under the name Hyphopichia burtonii NRRL Y-1933. The record is from RNAcentral. Lineage: Eukaryota; Fungi; Ascomycota; Pichiomycetes; Serinales; Debaryomycetaceae.